GACGAACGCUGGCGGCGUGCUUAACACAUGCAAGUCGAACGGUAAGGCCCUUCGGGGUACACGAGUGGCGAACGGGUGAGUAACACGUGGGUGAUCUGCCCUGCACUUCGGGAUAAGCCUGGGAAACUGGGUCUAAUACCGGAUAGGACCCUGGGAUGCAUGUCCUGGGGUGGAAAGCUUUUGCGGUGUUAUAUUUUCUCUAUUCAUUUAAUAUUUUUGGUGGGGUGAUGGCCUACCAAGGCGACGACGGGUAGCCGGCCGGAGAGGGUGACCGGCCACACUGGGACUGAGAUACGGCCCAGACUCCUACGGGAGGCAGCAGUGGGGAAUAUUGCACAAUGGGCGCAAGCCUGAUGCAGCGACGCCGCGUGAGGGAUGACGGCCUUCGGGUUGUAAACCUCUUUCAACAACGACGAAGCGCAAGUGACGGUAGGUGCAGAAGAAGGACCGGCCAACUACGUGCCAGCAGCCGCGGUAA
RNAcentral lists this ribosomal RNA (478 nucleotides) under uncultured bacterium. RNAcentral's name for it is "partial 16S ribosomal RNA". It matches the Rfam family "Bacterial small subunit ribosomal RNA", at positions 28 to 523 of the family's 1533-position model. The record is from RNAcentral.